GUACUGCUGGAGAGUCCCAAACUAGGACGAAACAGCUGUCCAGUAC
Molecule: non-coding RNA, 46 nt
Organism: Trichobilharzia regenti
Lineage: Eukaryota; Metazoa; Platyhelminthes; Trematoda; Strigeidida; Schistosomatidae
Source: Rfam